RNAcentral lists this ribosomal RNA (540 nucleotides) under uncultured bacterium. Its description in RNAcentral is "bacterial SSU rRNA". It matches the Rfam family "Bacterial small subunit ribosomal RNA", at positions 355 to 895 of the family's 1533-position model. The record is from RNAcentral.
UGAGGAAUAUUGGUCAAUGGGCGAGAGCCUGAACCAGCCAAGUAGUGUGCAGGACGACGGCCCUAUGGGUUGUAAACUGCUUUUGUAUGGGGAUAAAGUCAAUCACGUGUGAUUGUUUGCAGGUACCAUACGAAUAAGGACCGGCUAAUUCCGUGCCAGCAGCCGCGGUAAUACGGAAGGUUCGGGCGUUAUCCGGAUUUAUUGGGUUUAAAGGGAGCGUAGGCUGGAGAUUAAGUGUGUUGUGAAAUGUAGACGCUCAACGUCUGACUUGCAGCGCAUACUGGUUUCCUUGAGUACGCACAACGUUGGCGGAAUUCGUCGUGUAGCGGUGAAAUGCUUAGAUAUGACGAAGAACUCCGAUUGCGAAGGCAGCUGACGGGAGCGCAACUGACGCUGAAGCUCGAAGGUGCGGGUAUCGAACAGGAUUAGAUACCCUGGUAGUCCGCACAGUAAACGAUGGAUGCCCGCUGUUGGUACCUGGUAUCAGCGGCUAAGCGAAAGCAUUAAGCAUCCCACCUGGGGGAGUACGCCGGCCACGGG